This 330-nucleotide ribosomal RNA is filed under the name uncultured eukaryote. RNAcentral describes it as "partial 18S ribosomal RNA". It matches the Rfam family "Eukaryotic small subunit ribosomal RNA", at positions 1470 to 1796 of the family's 1831-position model. The record is from RNAcentral.
CCCUUAGAUGUCCGGGGCCGCACGCGCGCUACACUGAAGGAAUCAGCGUGGCUCUGUCCCUGGUCCGAAAGGAUUGGGAAACCCGUUGAAUCUCCUUCGUGAUAGGGAUUGGGGCUUGGAACUGUUCCCCAUGAACGAGGAAUUCCCAGUAAGCGCGAGUCAUAAGCUCGCGUUGAUUACGUCCCUGCCCUUUGUACACACCGCCCGUCGCUACUACCGAUUGAACGGUCCGGUGAAGCGUUCGGACCGUGGCCUUUGGACGGUUCGCCGUCUGUUGGCUGCGGGAAGUUCGUUAAACCUUAUCAUUUAGAGGAAGGAGAAGUCGUAACA